Molecule: ribosomal RNA, 329 nt
Filed under: uncultured eukaryote
Lineage: Eukaryota
Description: partial 18S ribosomal RNA
Rfam family: Eukaryotic small subunit ribosomal RNA
Source: RNAcentral
CCCUUAGAUGUUCUGGGCCGCACGCGCGCUACACUGACGAUGGCAACGAGUUUUUCCUUCGCCGAAAGGUGUGGGUAAUCUUUUGAAACAUCGUCGUGCUGGGGAUAGAUCAUUGCAAUUUUUGUUCUUGAACGAGGAAUUCCUAGUAAGCGCGAGUCAUCAGCUCGCGUUGAUUACGUCCCUGCCCUUUGUACACACCGCCCGUCGCUACUACCGAUUGAAUGGUUUAGUGAGGACUCCUGAUUGGCGCCGCCGCCCCGGCAACGGAGCAGCGGACUGCCGAAAAGUUGUUCAAACUUGAUCAUUUAGAGGAAGUAAAAGUCGUAACA